RNAcentral lists this ribosomal RNA (484 nucleotides) under uncultured bacterium. RNAcentral's name for it is "partial 16S ribosomal RNA". It matches the Rfam family "Bacterial small subunit ribosomal RNA", at positions 29 to 507 of the family's 1533-position model. The record is from RNAcentral.
AGUGAACGCUGGCGGCAGGCCUAACACAUGCAAGUCGAGCGGCAGCGGGUCCUUCGGGAUGCCGGCGAGCGGCGGACGGGUGAGUAAUACAUCCGAAUCUGCCCUGUCUUUGGGGAUAACCUAGCGAAACUUAGGCUAAUACCGCAUACGACCUACGGUUGAAAGCGGGGGAUCGCUAGACCUCGCGCGACAGGAUGAGCCGAUGUCCGAUUAGCUAGUUGGCUGGGUAAAGGCCUACCAAGGCGACGAUCGGUAGCUGGUCUGAGAGGAUGAUCAGCCACACUGGGACUGAGACACGGCCCAGACUCCUACGGGAGGCAGCAGUGGGGAAUAUUGGACAAUGGGCGCAAGCCUGAUCCAGCCAUGCCGCGUGGGUGAAGAAGGCCUUCGGGUUGUAAAGCCCUUUUGUCAGGGAAGAAAUCGUCUGGGCUAAUACCCCGGGCGGAUGACGGUACCGGAAGAAUAAGCACCGGCUAACUUCGUG